AUUCAUAGCUUUAACUUAGCAAUGUUGGCAAAGCAGUGUUGGAGACUAAUUGAGAACUUUGGUUCCUUAUGUGCACGAGUUCUGAGAGGCAAGUACUACCCUACAGGAGAUAUUCUGAAUUGUCAACUGAAGAAGGGGUUGUCCUAUGUGUGGCAAAGCAUUUGGUCUGGAAUUCAAACGUUCAAGAAGGGUUACAUUUGGAGAGUAGGCAAUGGAGAAAAGAUUAAUAUAUGGGAUGACUGUUGGAUCCCGAACAGUGCCUCCAAAAAAGUUUUAACAGUAAGGGAGAACCAAGUACUUACUAAAGUGAAUGAGUUAAUUGACCCAAUCACGGAAGAAUGGGAUGAGAUAUUAAUCCGGGAGAAUUUCUGGCACAUUGAUGCUGAACGCAUACUACAAAUCCCAUUAUUCCAUGUGGAGACAGAGGACUAUGUUGCAUGGCAUCUCACGAGGAGCGGCGUUUUUUCAGUACGUUCU
This 477-nucleotide ribosomal RNA is filed under the name Triticum aestivum (bread wheat). Its description in RNAcentral is "partial small subunit ribosomal RNA". Lineage: Eukaryota; Viridiplantae; Streptophyta; Magnoliopsida; Poales; Poaceae. The record is from RNAcentral.